UUGUACUCUGCCUCUGACUCUCUUCCAAGAACAAUUUGGCAAGUUCUAAUCUACAUCUUGCAAAAAAAAAACAAAAAACAAAAAACAGAGAGGUAGGAGGGCCACAGCACCUGGGGUCCCAGAAGGCAGACUGACCUAUUCCUACAGCAGGGAGACAAGGUCUCAUUCUGUUGCCCAGGCUGGAGUGCAGUGGUGCAAUCACGGUUCACUGCAACCUGGAACUCCAGGGUUCAAGCAAUCCUCCUGCCUCAGCCUGCCGAGUAGCUGUGACAACAGGUGCGAGCCACCAUGCCCAGCUAAGAUUUCACCAUGUUGCCCAGCUGGUCUUGAACUCCUGGCCUCAAGCAAUUCUCCUGCUUUAGGCUCCCAAGUUGCUGGAAUUACAGGCUGCCUCCUCUGAGCCUUCCCAGAUUCUCAGUCUGUGAUGAAAUAGACAGAACACCAAGCUACCAGGAAGGGCACCUGCCUCCUAGAUCGGAAUCUUCGUCCAUUCGCACUUAGGUGAUCACUUGCCUUCGAGAGCCCCAUCCAGAAGACGGGAGUAAUGAGCCCUGCUCUGCCCAUCACGGGCCGCUAUGAGGAUGCAAAAGCACUUAGGAAAGAAUUUAAAUGCUACACAGGCACACGAUAUUGUUACGCACAGUCAAAGCUGGUGCAUCGGGCACUUCAUCAUCCAGAAACCUCUUUUACCUUACAAUGUGAGAUAAACUUAUAUACCUUUC
Molecule: long non-coding RNA, 722 nt
Filed under: Homo sapiens (human)
Lineage: Eukaryota; Metazoa; Chordata; Mammalia; Primates; Hominidae
Description: FXYD6 antisense RNA 1
Source: RNAcentral